RNAcentral lists this unclassified non-coding RNA (22 nucleotides) under Mus musculus (house mouse). RNAcentral describes it as "oocyte_clustered_small_RNA5915". The record is from RNAcentral. Lineage: Eukaryota; Metazoa; Chordata; Mammalia; Rodentia; Muridae.
CUCUACACAACAUCCCACAGAG